CCUACGGGAGGCUGCAGUGGGGAAUAUUGCACAAUGGGCGAAAGCCUGAUGCAGCAACGCCGCGUGAGGGAUGACGGCCUUCGGGUUGAAACCUCUUUUAGUAGGGAAGCGGUACCUGCAGAAAAAGCACCGGCUAACUACGUGCCAGCAGCCGCGGUAAUACGUAGGGUGCAAGCGUUGUCCGGAAUUAUUGGGCGUAAAGAGCUCGUAGGCGGUUUGUCGCGUCUGCUGUGAAAACCCGAGGCUCAACCUCGGGCCUGCAGUGGGUACGGGCAGACUAGAGUGCGGUAGGGGAGAAUGGAAUUCCUGGUGUAGCGGUGGAAUGCGCAGAUAUCAGGAGGAACACCGAUGGCGAAGGCAGUUCUCUGGGCCGUACUGACGCUGAGGAGCGAAAGCGUGGGGAGCGAACAGGAUUAGAUACCCUUGUAGUC
RNAcentral lists this ribosomal RNA (431 nucleotides) under uncultured bacterium. RNAcentral's name for it is "partial 16S ribosomal RNA". It matches the Rfam family "Bacterial small subunit ribosomal RNA", at positions 338 to 795 of the family's 1533-position model. The record is from RNAcentral.